This 386-nucleotide unclassified non-coding RNA is filed under the name Hevea brasiliensis (rubber tree). The record is from RNAcentral. Lineage: Eukaryota; Viridiplantae; Streptophyta; Magnoliopsida; Malpighiales; Euphorbiaceae.
AGGAAAUGCGGAUGGAAGAGGAAAGAAUUGAAGCUGAGAAAAAGCGGGUAAAAGAAGAGGCACAGCAGCUUGCUCUUAUUUUUGAAACUGUUGGAGCUUUCAAGGUGAAGCGCAAAGGUGGAAAGGGCAAACAAAUAUUUGGAAGUGUAACUCCUCAAGAUCUUGUUGACGUCAUCAAGGCACAGCUUCAGAGGGACGUGGACAAACGAAUUGUUUCUCUUCCAGAAAUCAGGGAAACAGGAGAAUAUAUUGCUGAGCUUAAGCUUCAUCCUGAAGUUACUGCUCGGGUGAGGUUGAAUGUUUAUGCUAACUAAGGAAUAGGAUCUUUUGGAAGCACACUCUCUGAAUGAAUGAUUGGUGUGAGCAACUUGCAUCAUUGUCAGGAG